GACGAACGCUGGCGGCGUGCUUAACACAUGCAAGUCGAACGGAAAGGCCCUGCUUUUGUGGGGUGCUCGAGUGGCGAACGGGUGAGUAACACGUGAGUAACCUGCCCUUGACUUUGGGAUAACUUCAGGAAACUGGGGCUAAUACCGGAUAGGAGCUCCUGCUGCAUGGUGGGGGUUGGAAAGUUUCGGCGGUUGGGGAUGGACUCGCGGCUUAUCAGCUUGUUGGUGGGGUAGUGGCUUACCAAGGCUUUGACGGGUAGCCGGCCUGAGAGGGUGACCGGCCACAUUGGGACUGAGAUACGGCCCAGACUCCUAAGGGAGGCAGCAGUGGGGAAUAUUGCACAAUGGGCGGAAGCCUGAUGCAGCAACGCCGCGUGCGGGAUGAUGGCCUUCGGGUUGUAAACCGCUUUCGCCUGUGACGAAGCGUGAGUGACGGUAAUGGGUAAAGAAGCACCGGCUAACUACGUG
Molecule: ribosomal RNA, 468 nt
Filed under: uncultured bacterium
Lineage: Bacteria
Description: partial 16S ribosomal RNA
Rfam family: Bacterial small subunit ribosomal RNA
Source: RNAcentral